GGAAUUGUUCGCAAUGGGCGCAAGCCUGCCGACGCAACGCCGCGUGGAGGAUGAAGAUCUUCGGGUCGUAAACUCCUGUCGACUGGGCCGAACGGGUUGCGGGUGAAUAACCCGUACCCGUGACGGUACCGUUAAAGGAAACCCCGGCUAACUCCGUGCCCGCAGCCGCGGUAAUACGGGGGGGGUAAGCGUUGUUCGGAAUUCCUGGGCGUAAAGGGCUCGUAGGCGGCCAACUAAGUCAGACGUGAAAUCCCUCAGCUUAACUGGGGAACUGCGUCUGAUACUGGAUGGCUUGGAUCCGGGAGAGGGAUGCGGAAUUCCAGGUGUAGCGGUGAAAUGCGUAGAUAUCUGGAGGAACACCGGUGGCGAAGGCGGCAUCCUGGACCGGCAUUGACGCUGAGGAGCGAAAGCCAGGGGAGCAAAC
Molecule: ribosomal RNA, 424 nt
Filed under: uncultured bacterium
Lineage: Bacteria
Description: bacterial SSU rRNA
Rfam family: Bacterial small subunit ribosomal RNA
Source: RNAcentral